AACGAACGUUGGCGGCGUGGAUUAGGCAUGCAAGUCGAACGAAUCCCAGUUUUGUAGCAAUACCGAGCUGGGGGAAGUAGGCGAAAGGGGACGAGUAAGGCGUGGGUAACCGUACCUCGGGGACGGGGAGUAGCCUUCCUAACGGAGUGGGUAAGUACCUGGCGAUUUGGUUGAGGGGCGAUCUCUUGACCAGGAAAGUAGAAUUUCGCCUCGGGAGGGGCGUCAUGUGAUAUUAGCUAGUUGGCGGGGUAACGGCCCACCAAGGCAAAGAUGUCUAGCGGGUGUGAGAGCACGACCCGCGCCACUGGCACUGAGACACUGGCCAGACACCUACGGGUGGGCUGCAGUCGAGGAUCUUCGGCAAUGGGCGCAAGCCUGACCGAGCGACGCCGCGU
Molecule: ribosomal RNA, 395 nt
Filed under: uncultured bacterium
Lineage: Bacteria
Description: bacterial SSU rRNA
Rfam family: Bacterial small subunit ribosomal RNA
Source: RNAcentral